AUUGAACGCUGGCGGCAGGCCUAACACAUGCAAGUCGAGCGAGCGGCGGACGGGUGAGUAAUGUCUGGGGAACUGCCCGAUAGAGGGGGAUAACUACUGGAAACGGUGGCUAAUACCGCAUACUAUCGGAUGAACCCAGAGGGGAUUAGCUAGUAGGUGGGGUAAAGGCUCACCUAGGCGACGAUCUCUAGCGGGUCUGAGAGGAUGAUCAGCCACACUGUGACUGAGACACGGCCCAUACUCCUACGGGAGGCAGCAGUGGGGAAUAUUGCACAAGGGGCGCAAGCCUGAUGCAGCCAUGCCGCGUGUAUGAAGAAGGCCUUAGGGUUGUAAAGUACUUUCAGCGGGGCGGCGUUACCCGCAGAAGAAGCACCGGCUAACUCCGUGCCAGCAGCCGCGGUAAUUC
This 406-nucleotide ribosomal RNA is filed under the name uncultured bacterium. RNAcentral's name for it is "partial 16S ribosomal RNA". It matches the Rfam family "Bacterial small subunit ribosomal RNA", at positions 30 to 526 of the family's 1533-position model. The record is from RNAcentral.